GGCAGACUGUCAUAAAGCUAGUUAAACCUCACUUGGAAAUAGUCAUAUGAUCAUGAUCAUACUUCCUGAAUAAUUAAUUAAUAAUUAUCCAGCUACCCACAAUGAGUAAUUAGGCAUUUAUCUGCUUUAAUAUUACAUAUCUCCAGGAGAAAAAGAUGUGGGCCAGUAGGCUUUGAAAAGCUGGUAAAAACAAUACAUUUUAACAAUAAGGUUAAGAUAAAUAGUUUAAAUGACUAAGUCAAGAAUCUGAAAUGGUAUUUAGGACAUAACUGUAUUUAUAAAAAUUGUCUCCAGUCAGGCCUGAUUUAGCAUACUUUGGCUGAUACAUAUAAGAUAAAUCAUUUAAGAAUUUUUGAAUUAUAUACAAUAAAACAACUAUAGUUUGGUAGAUAUGUUAGAAAAAGACUUUCAUCCUCUCUCAACCUGAACAAUUCUAAAUUUUCUCCAAAAACUUAUUUGACUCGGGUAGAAAUCAAAGAUCUCUAAAACAAAGAAGUGACUGAUGUGAAGAUCCUGUUAAUUUUAGUGGCGAUUACUGCUACUCUCAAUCAACAUUGUUAAUUUACAUACACUAGCGCCCACCUUCUUUUCUCAAUAACCCUCUACCAGUUUACUUGAGAGAAAGUGGUCAAAGUAUUCAAUAAAAUAGGCU
This 652-nucleotide long non-coding RNA is filed under the name Bos taurus (domestic cattle). RNAcentral describes it as "long non-coding RNA NONBTAT025370". Lineage: Eukaryota; Metazoa; Chordata; Mammalia; Artiodactyla; Bovidae. The record is from RNAcentral.